AACCUCCGCAAUGUGAGAAAUCGCGACGGGGGGAUCCCAAGUGCCAUUCUUAACGGGAUGGCUUUUCAUUAGUGUAAAGAGCUUUUGGAAUAAGGGCUGGGCAAGACCGGUGCCAGCCGCCGCGGUAACACCGGCAGCUCUAGUGGUAGCUGUUUUUAUUGGGCCUAAAGCGUUCGUAGCCGGUUUGAUAAGUCACUGGUGAAAUCCUGUAGCUUAACUGUGGGAAUUGCUGGUGAUACUGUUGAACUUGAGGUCGGGAGAGGUUAGCGGUACUCCCAGGGUAGAGGUGAAAUUCUGUAAUCCUGGGAGGACCAUCUGUGGCGAAGGCGGCUAACUGGGACGGUUCUGACGGUGAGGGACGAAAGUUAGGGGCGCGAACCGGAUUAGAUACCCGGGUAGUCCUAACUGUAAACGAUGCGGACUUGGUGUUGGGGUGGCUUUGAGCUGCUCCAGUGCCGAAGGGAAGCUGUUAAGUCCGCCGCCUGGGAAGUACGGUCGCAAGACUGAAACUUAAAGGAAUU
RNAcentral lists this ribosomal RNA (521 nucleotides) under uncultured bacterium. Its description in RNAcentral is "bacterial SSU rRNA". It matches the Rfam family "Archaeal small subunit ribosomal RNA", at positions 345 to 866 of the family's 1478-position model. The record is from RNAcentral.